UAUGCUACGUAAGUUUCUACGUAAGGUGCUCGGUAUUUCACUUAGGCUACGUAAGUCUCUACGUAAGGUGCUCGGUAUAGAUCUACCAACGGUUGGUAGCCGCGUGCUGUGCACGUGCACGGCAGACAUUGUGUUGCAUGCAGUGCAUGCAGUCCGUGUUCGGAUGUGCAUGCGCGAGGAACUUCCUCCUUUGGAACUGCUUCUUGUAUGAGCUGUUUCGGAUAUUUCGUCUCCUAGAUCCUGGCCUGGCUUAUUUCGUUUCGGCGCUGCUGAGACCUCCUUUCGCGGAAUAUUACUCAAUAUCGACAGUGUGCGAAGAACGCGAGUUCACCUUCUUGACGAAAAUCGUGGACUAACAGUUCGAAGUCAUUGAACUACUUCCAAAAGUUGUAUCGACAUCAACAGGGUUACGAUUUCAGUGCAAUAUGGUGCAGGAUGACCUUAUCACGAUAACCCAUGAUUAUAAACCAUUAUAAACACAGAAUCAACAAAAACAUCUGCGACACGCACCUGGUUACAUUUCUCAAAUAAAUCUGAUCGAGGGUGGGGAGAUCUGAAAUAUCUGAAAGGCAAGACAAUUUUAUGACAGAGUCAUGAAAUUCUGCUACAGCAACAUGCACAGAAUGACCUCCGUAUAAAAAAGGUAUCACCACGGUCCACCACUACUCACAUGUAUCCCCGCAGAAGAACAUGCUAGUCCCAUUUUCUGCAAGAAAAGGCUUGCACAUCAAUGCGUAUAAUACGGUAUUGAUAU
This is a long non-coding RNA of Sycon ciliatum, 754 nucleotides long. RefSeq lists it as uncharacterized. The transcript is spliced from 3 exons. The record is from RefSeq and is a predicted model, not a curated record. NCBI's taxonomy places the organism in Eukaryota, Metazoa, Porifera, Calcarea, Leucosolenida, Sycettidae.